GAAGACGGUUCCAGCCUGCGAGCGGCCGCAGAGGGGAGUGGUGAAGGGAAGCUGCUCGCCUGUGGCUCCAGGAGGCAGAGUGAGCACUGGUUUCCUCCUUUCUCUGCUUUUGUUCCAUCCCGACCCCAGCCCGUUGGACCGUGCCGCCCACAUUCAGAGUGGCGUUCCCCCUUCCUGUGCUGUCUCACAGGCCAGUUACCCCUGGACAUGUCCUCACAGACACGUCAGAAGCUAUUUUACUAACACCGAAGCUUUCCCAGUCCACGGUGACAUCAAGAUGAGGCAUCAAACGGGACCCGGUAACGCACCAUGAAUCACAGACAUGCGUACAUGGGUGUGCACGUCUGUGCAUGCUCACAUGGGUGAGGUAUGAAGACGAACCUUACAUAAAUCCGCCACAGACGUUCUGAGCCGUUCCUCACACCAUGUGCCGAGUGCCAUCCUCAGCUUCUCCCGGACAGAGACUCUUCCUCUCACCCUGUGUGGGUCGCUCACAUUCAUCAGGUGCUCACGGCAGUGCCAGAUGCAGUACGGAGGAAGCUGUAGGAAGAAGACCACUUUUGUCUCAGCACAGCGCCCUGGCUCUCCUUGGAGAUAACAUUCACAGCAAACAUUCUUGGGGCAAGGAAUGAAAAUAACAACACCCACUGAUUUUCUUUGGAUCACAUGGCUUCUAAAUGUCAGCUUCCUAAACCUACCUUUGACUGUGAAGUUACUUUAUCAAAGGACCUUGGGAGAGCAAAGACUGAAUAAAAAAAUAUUCACAGACCUCUGAUUCUUGGGACAGAAGCAAUAUCUUAUUCUCCAUGCUUAUUUCCCAAGCCCACACAUAAAAAAAGAAGAAGGAGAAAAAGGAAAAGAAGAGGAAGAGGAGGAGGAGGAGGAGAUGAGGAAGAAAAGAAAAAUGAACAAAGCCAUUAACUUGAAAGGCG
Molecule: long non-coding RNA, 932 nt
Filed under: Fukomys damarensis (Damara mole-rat)
Lineage: Eukaryota; Metazoa; Chordata; Mammalia; Rodentia; Bathyergidae
Description: lncRNA (ENSFDAG00000027231.1)
Source: RNAcentral